RNAcentral lists this ribosomal RNA (484 nucleotides) under uncultured bacterium. RNAcentral describes it as "partial 16S ribosomal RNA". It matches the Rfam family "Bacterial small subunit ribosomal RNA", at positions 28 to 507 of the family's 1533-position model. The record is from RNAcentral.
AUUGAACGCUGGCGGCAUGCUUUACACAUGCCAGUCGAACGGCAGCGCGGGCUUCGGUCUGGCGGCGAGUGGCGAACGGGUGAGUAAUUCAUCGGAACGUGCCCAGUAGUGGGGGAUAGCCCGGCGAAAGCCGGAUUAAUACCGCAUACGCCCUGAGGGUGUAAGCGGGGGACCGGAAGGCCUCGCGCUAUUGCACGGGUCGAUGUCGGAUUAGCUAGUUGGUGGGGUAAAGGCUUACCAAGGCGACGAUCCGUAGCUGGUCUGAGAGGACGACCAGCCACACUGGGACUGAGACACGGCCCAGACUCCUACGGGAGGCAGCAGUGGGGAAUUUUGGACAAUGGGGGCAACCCUGAUCCAGCCAUGCCGCGUGCGGGAAGAAGGCCUUCGGGUUGUAAACCGCUUUUGUUCGGGAAGAAAUGCUCUGGGCUAAUACCCCGGGGGGAUGACGGUACCGGAAGAAUAAGCACCGGCUAACUACGUG